This 267-nucleotide long non-coding RNA is filed under the name Salvia miltiorrhiza (redroot sage). RNAcentral's name for it is "long non-coding RNA (SMIL_LNC013406)". The record is from RNAcentral. Lineage: Eukaryota; Viridiplantae; Streptophyta; Magnoliopsida; Lamiales; Lamiaceae.
CUACAUCUCGCCAUCUCCACUACCGUCGCCAGCCGCCUCUGCCCCGCCGCAUUCUCUGCAGUAGUAUGCACCGGAUCUCGCCUCCUCCUCCAUCACCUCCAAGAUCUCCUCCAAUUCGCAACACCUCCUCCUCCACAUCGACGCCACCAUCUCCACCUAAAAUCGGGGGUUCUAGAAAUAGUUUUGAGGAGAUAGAAAAUAGUCGGAUUUGAAAUUGAAUCUGAGGAAAAAAUUAGGACACAUUGAAGCAGAUUUCGUCAGGCGGUG